ACAUAUCCGGACGCAACCGUCAUGGCUACUGUCAGUGAGGGCCCGUAAUGGAGAUCGAGUCAAGGGUUGCCCAGGGACACUUAGACCCUUCGGCUUCAAGGAGGCCUCUCAAAGGACAAAGGAUGAGACUGCCUGGCGGCAGAGUGCCCCCCACAAUCCUAGGAACUGUGUCGCCGCGCUUCCCGUUAACUUGCCGCUAAGUUUUUCUAGAAAAGUCGCCCUUCUUGCCAGGGGUGUCCUAUAGACUUUGUCAUGGAGUGAAACAGAAACAAAUAAUGGCCUGUCCAGAAGACAGCCAAAUACAUCCUUCAAAUAGACUUCACUGCAGGAGACAGAGUGGAUUCAUCCCGUAUUCUCCACAUGGACUUCCAUCUUCAUGAGUACUCCAAGAAGGUGGUUCAGUUGACUAUUGCAAAG
Molecule: non-coding RNA, 417 nt
Filed under: Pongo abelii (Sumatran orangutan)
Lineage: Eukaryota; Metazoa; Chordata; Mammalia; Primates; Hominidae
Source: RNAcentral